UGGGAGCCCAUUGUGCCAGGCUGCAAGGAUGUGGGCUCCGGUGCAGAGGGCCUGGUGCUCUUCCCCAGGAAGAAGAGGGGCUUUGUGACAGGCUGGGGGACAAAACAAGGGGUGCUGGACACUGUUACUGAGGCAACUGCCUGGCCAGUGUGGAGGCAGCUUUAGUCCCUGGGACCGUUUCUGUGCCCAAGGAGAGGGAGGGCAGGGGAAGGAUGGAAUUUCAUCUAGAGUAGCAGGUCCUGGUUACCUGGUAAAUUAUGCAUCAGGACUGGGCUAGCCACUGCCUCCGUUUUCUCUGGGCUCCUGAGAUAACCUCCACCUGCCUCUAGAUUCUGUGCCAGCUGAUCGUAUCUAUCUCAUCAACUCUUGUUCCAUCAGGAAACUGCAUCUUGGAUUCUGGGUCAACAUCAUCCCCGCGGUGGAUCCAUUGGUGAGAGCAAUAAUGAAGCAGGUUUGCCACCAGGCUCCCAAAGAAGUGGGAACACUGACUGCAAAGGGCACAAUCUGAUUGGAUGAAAAGCGAGGCCUCAGAAGCAUUGGCACGUGUCCGCGAAGAGCCUAGCUGGAGGUCUGUCCUAGAGGAGGGGCGGAAGGAGGGGCGAGAAUGGCAGCGCCCCAUUUCAUCCGACUGCUCUGUGUUCCUCACAUCUGACCCAACCUUCCGUUACAACACAGGCACAUUUGUGGAUACUCUUGGUUACAUGUGUGUUCUCUCCUUAGACUCUGAGUCUCUUCUAGGAAAGGAUUGUCUUAAUUAUCUUUGUAUUCCCAGAAGCUAGUUUAGAGGCUAGUAUGUAGUAAGUUCGCAAAAAAUCUUUG
This 819-nucleotide long non-coding RNA is filed under the name Pan troglodytes (chimpanzee). RNAcentral's name for it is "long non-coding RNA NONPTRT006884". The record is from RNAcentral. Lineage: Eukaryota; Metazoa; Chordata; Mammalia; Primates; Hominidae.